GGUAUUUGGAAAGUGAAUUCACACGGGAAUACGGGGAAUUGGAGGUCUGGUAUUUGGAAAGUGUAUUCGCACAGGAAUAUGUGGAAUUGGAGGUCUGGUAUUUGGGAAGUGUAUUCAUACAGGAAUAUGGGGACUAGGAUGUCUGGUGUUUCGAAACUGUAUUCAUAAGGGAAUAUGGGGAAUUGGAGGUCUGGUAUUUGGAAAGGGUAUACAAACGGGAAUGUGGGGAAUUUGAUGACUGGUAUUUGGAAAGUAAAUUCACAUGGGAAUAUGGGGAAUUGGAGGUCUGGUAUUUGGAAAGUGUAUACAAACGGGAAUGUGGGGAAUUUGAUGACUGGUAUUUGGAAAGUAAAUUCACAUGGGAAUAUGGGGAAUUGGAGGUCUGGUAUUUGGAAAGAGAAUUCACACGGAAAUAUGUGGAAUUGGAGGUCUGGUAUUUGGGAAGUGUAUGCAUACAGGAAUAUGGGGAUUAGGAUGUCUGGUGUUUCGAAAGUGUAUUCACACAGGAAUAUGGGGAAUUGGAGGUCUGGUAUUUGGAAGAAUUCACACGGAACUAUGGGGAAUUGCAGGUCUGAUAUUUGGAAAGUUUAU
Molecule: long non-coding RNA, 591 nt
Organism: Hypanus sabinus (Atlantic stingray)
Lineage: Eukaryota; Metazoa; Chordata; Chondrichthyes; Myliobatiformes; Dasyatidae
Exons: 2
Source: RefSeq, a predicted model, not a curated record